AUACGUAGGGGGCGAGCGUUGUCCGGAAUGACUGGGCGUAAAGGGCGUGUAGGCGGCUGGAUAAGUCUGGAGUGAAAGUCCUGCAUUCAAUGUGGGAAUUGCUUUGGAGACUGUCUGGCUUGAGUGCGGAAGAGGUAAGUGGAAUUCCCAGUGUAGCGGUGAAAUGCGUAGAGAUUGGGAGGAACACCAGUGGCGAAGGCGACUUACUGGGCCGUAACUGACGCUGAGGCGCGAAAGCGUGGGGAGCGAACAGGAUUAGAUACCCUGGUAGUCCACGCGGUAAACGAUGAAUACUAGGUGUGGGGGGACUGACCCCUUCCGUGCCGGAGUAAACACAAUAAGUAUUCCACCUGGGGAGUACGACCGCAAGGUUGAAACUCAAAGGAAUUGACGGGG
Molecule: ribosomal RNA, 396 nt
Filed under: uncultured bacterium
Lineage: Bacteria
Description: partial 16S ribosomal RNA
Rfam family: Bacterial small subunit ribosomal RNA
Source: RNAcentral